RNAcentral lists this ribosomal RNA (468 nucleotides) under uncultured bacterium. Its description in RNAcentral is "partial 16S ribosomal RNA". It matches the Rfam family "Bacterial small subunit ribosomal RNA", at positions 28 to 507 of the family's 1533-position model. The record is from RNAcentral.
GACGAACGCUGGCGGCGUGCUUAACACAUGCAAGUCGAACGGAAAGGCCCUGCUUUUGUGGGGUGCUCGAGUGGCGAACGGGUGAGUAACACGUGAGUAACCUGCCCUUGACUCUGGGAUAACUUAAGGAAACUGGGGCUAAUACCGGAUAGGAGCUCCUGCUGCAUGGUGGGGGUUGGAAAGUUUCGGCGGUUGGGGAUGGACUCGCGGCUUAUCAGCUUGUUGGUGGGGUAGUGGCUUACCAAGGCUUUGACGGGUAGCCGGCCUGAGAGGGUGACCGGCCACAUUGGGACUGAGAUACGGCCCAGACUCCUACGGGAGGCAGCAGUGGGGAAUAGUGCACAAUGGGCGGAAGCCUGAUGCAGCAACGCCGCGUGCGGGAUGACGGCCUUCGGGUUGUAAACCGCUUUCGCCUGUGACGAAGCGUGAGUGACGGUAAUGGGUAAAGAAGCACCGGCUAACUACGUG